RNAcentral lists this long non-coding RNA (217 nucleotides) under Gossypium barbadense (sea-island cotton). RNAcentral describes it as "long non-coding RNA (GBAR_LNC000258)". The record is from RNAcentral. Lineage: Eukaryota; Viridiplantae; Streptophyta; Magnoliopsida; Malvales; Malvaceae.
CCUGGACGAGUAAUUCAAAGAUCUCAAAAUAGAAAGGAUCUAGCCCGGACAGGUGUUCCUUGAGUGAUCAAGCCUCCCGAAGAAUAUGGGUGCAUUAAGGAUUUAGCCCAGACGGGUAAUCCGACUGAGGUCUGAAUUUAGCCUGGACUGCCAAUUAGGAUCCGAACUUAUGAAAGCAAUUGUCGUAAAAGGGGAUUUAGCCUAGACUGGUAAUCAU